This 507-nucleotide ribosomal RNA is filed under the name uncultured bacterium. Its description in RNAcentral is "partial 16S ribosomal RNA". It matches the Rfam family "Bacterial small subunit ribosomal RNA", at positions 28 to 523 of the family's 1533-position model. The record is from RNAcentral.
GAUGAACGCUAGCUACAGGCUUAACACAUGCAAGUCGAGGGGAAACGAUAGAGAAAGCUUGCUUUUUCUAGGCGUCGACCGGCGCACGGGUGAGUAACGCGUAUCCAACCUGCCCAUCACUUGGGGAUAACCUUGCGAAAGUAAGACUAAUACCCAAUGACGUCUCUAGAAGACAUCUGAAAGGGAUUAAAGAUUUAUCGGUGAUGGAUGGGGAUGCGUCUGAUUAGCUUGUUGGCGGGGUAACGGCCCACCAAGGCGACGAUCAGUAGGGGUUCUGAGAGGAAGGUCCCCCACAUUGGAACUGAGACACGGUCCAAACUCCUACGGGAGGCAGCAGUGAGGAAUAUUGGUCAAUGACGAGAGUCUGAGCCAGCCAAGUAGCGUGCAGGAUGACGGCCCUAUGGGUUGUAAACUGCUUUUAUAAGGGAAUAAAGUGAGAGUCGUGACUCUUUUUGCAUGUACCUUAUGAAUAAGGACCGGCUAAUUCCGUGCCAGCCGCCGCGGUAA